UGGGGAAUAUUGCACAAUGGGGGGAACCCUGAUGCAGCCAUGCCGCGUGAAUGAAGAAGGCCUUCGGGUUGUAAAGUUCUUUCGGUGACGAGGAAGGUUGGUAGGUUAAUAGCCUAUCAAAUUGACGUUAAUCACAGAAGAAGCACCGGCUAACUCCGUGCCAGCAGCCGCGGUAAUACGGGGGGUGCGAGCGUUAAUCGGAAUAACUGGGCGUAAAGGGCACGCAGGCGGUGACUUAAGUGAGAUGUGAAAGCCCCGAGCUUAACUUGGGAAUUGCAUUUCAUACUGGGUCGCUAGAGUACUUUAGGGAGGGGUAGAAUUCCACGUGUAGCGGUGAAAUGCGUAGAGAUGUGGAGGAAUACCGAAGGCGAAGGCAGCCCCUUGGGAAUGUACUGACGCUCAUGUGCGAAAGCGUGGGGAGCAAACAGGAUUAGAUACCCUGGUAGUCCACGCUGUAAACGCUGUCGAUUUGGGGAUUGGGCCUUGAGCUUGGUGCCCGAAGCUAACGUGAUAAAUCGACCGCCUGGGGAGUACGGCCGCAAGGUUA
This 547-nucleotide ribosomal RNA is filed under the name uncultured bacterium. Its description in RNAcentral is "bacterial SSU rRNA". It matches the Rfam family "Bacterial small subunit ribosomal RNA", at positions 355 to 896 of the family's 1533-position model. The record is from RNAcentral.